RNAcentral lists this non-coding RNA (61 nucleotides) under Chloropicon mariensis. Lineage: Eukaryota; Viridiplantae; Chlorophyta; Chloropicophyceae; Chloropicales; Chloropicaceae. The record is from RNAcentral.
AAAAAAAGAGACAAAAAAAAAAAACGGGAAAAAAAAAAAAAGAGAACGAGUGAGUUUGCCU